This 460-nucleotide ribosomal RNA is filed under the name uncultured bacterium. RNAcentral describes it as "partial 16S ribosomal RNA". It matches the Rfam family "Bacterial small subunit ribosomal RNA", at positions 338 to 795 of the family's 1533-position model. The record is from RNAcentral.
CCUACGGGUGGCAGCAGUGAGGAAUAUUGGUCAAUGGACGCAAGUCUGAACCAGCCAUGCCGCGUGCAGGAAGACGGCUCUAUGAGUUGUAAACUGCUUUUGUACGAGGGUAAACGCAGAUACGUGUAUCUGUCUGAAAGUAUCGUACGAAUAAGGAUCGGCUAACUCCGUGCCAGCAGCCGCGGUAAUACGGAGGAUUCAAGCGUUAUCCGGAUUUAUUGGGUUUAAAUGGUGCGUAGGCGGUCGGUUAAGUUAGAGGUGAAAGCCGGAGGCUCAACUGCAGAAUUGCCUUUGAUACUGGUCGGCUAGAGAGUAGUUGCGGUAGGCGGAAUGUAUGGUGUAGCGGUGAAAUGCUUAGAUAUCAUGCAGAACACCGAUUGCGAAGGCAGCUUACCAAGCUGCUACUGACGUUGAGGCACGAAAGCGUGGGGAGCAAACAGGAUUAGAUACCCGGGUAGUC